Molecule: long non-coding RNA, 888 nt
Filed under: Bos mutus (wild yak)
Lineage: Eukaryota; Metazoa; Chordata; Mammalia; Artiodactyla; Bovidae
Description: lncRNA (ENSBMUG00000014210.1)
Source: RNAcentral
UCAGGUUAAUGCUUCUUAGUGGUUUUUUCUUUUUUUUUUUUUAUUGUUGAGGUUUUCUCAGCAUUUAAAAAAAAUUGUUUUUUUAAUUGAAGGAUAAUUGCUGUAAAGAAUUCUGUUGUUUUCUGUCAAAUCUCACCAUGAAUAUUAUAUUGAGCCUUGCCCUUUCUUUCUUCUCAAGGACAUUCCAAGCAUAUCAGACCUGAGGACUGCAAGCAACUUUAAGAAGCUUCAUAUUCAGCAGGUCUUUCCUUUUGAGAAUCUGGAUAAGCUCCAACCAAUCUAAUAGGAUGGCUUGCAGUUUCCCUGGAGAAAAAGGUGGAGAUGGGGCAUGAGGAUCCUCCAGGGGAAAGAUUCACUACCACUGAGCAACAACUCUAGGCCAGGAGGUUAUACCAAGAUUCUUUCCUGGGCCCAGUUAAGAAGGUGAAGCCUCAAGACAACCACCACACAUCCAGAGCUCCUGGUUGUUCCCUUCAUAUUUGCCAAAUCAUUAUCUUUCCCUGAAGUAGUGCAAAGAGCAAGAAAUGUGAACACACCAAGGAAGAUCAACAUGCCUGCAAUGCUAGCAUUUUAGAAUAGCAGAAUGAAUUUGUCUCUUCUAUUUCUUACCCUCUUCCAUGUCUGCCUUUGCUUAUCUUUUAAACUCAUAAGUGUGUAUUUGUUUGUUUGUCUGUUUCUUCUUUGAAUGUCUUUGGUCUUUCUUGUCUAAAGUAUGUCUUACCCAUUUCCAUGAUUCUCUUGCUAGUUUCUUCUCUGUAUAUCUUUGUCUCAUUUACUUUUUUGUACCCAGGAGUGGUUUGUGUCUUGUCUUAAAUGUCUCUCUCUAGUUUUCUUCAUUUUGUUACUGAUUCUCCUUGCUCUGCUAGAUCUAGCUCUUCUUUUACCGUU